Molecule: transfer RNA, 86 nt
Filed under: Pseudomonadota bacterium
Lineage: Bacteria; Pseudomonadati; Pseudomonadota
Also listed under: 3 other names
Description: tRNA-Tyr
Rfam family: tRNA
About the family: Transfer RNA (tRNA) molecules are approximately 80 nucleotides in length. Their secondary structure includes four short double-helical elements and three loops (D, anti-codon, and T loops).
Source: RNAcentral
GGGGGGAUGCCCGAGCGGCCAAAGGGGCCAGACUGUAAAUCUGGUGGCGGACGCCUUCGCAGGUUCGAAUCCUGCUCCCCCCACCA